GACGAACGCUGGCGGCGUGCUUAACACAUGCAAGUCGAACGGAAAGGCCCUGCUUUUGUGGGGUGCUCGAGUGGCGAACGGGUGAGUAACACGUGAGUAACCUGCCCUUGACUUUGGGAUAACUUCAGGAAACUGGGGCUAAUACCGGAUAGGAUCUCCUGCUGCAUGGUGGGGGUUGGAAAGUUUCGGCGGUUGGGGAUGGACUCGCGGCUUAUCAGCUUGUUGGUGGGGUAGUGGCUUACCAAGGCUUUGACGGGUAGCCGGCCUGAGAGGGUGACCGGCCACAUUGGGACUGAGAGACGGACCAGACUCCUACGGGAGGCAGCAGUGGGGAGUAUUGCACAAUGGGCGGAAGCCUGAUGCAGCAACGCCGCGUGCGGGAUGACGGCCUUCGGGUUGUAAACCGCUUUCGCCUGUGACGAAGCGUGAGUGACGGUAAUGGGUAAAGAAGCACCGGCUAACUACGUG
RNAcentral lists this ribosomal RNA (468 nucleotides) under uncultured bacterium. RNAcentral describes it as "partial 16S ribosomal RNA". It matches the Rfam family "Bacterial small subunit ribosomal RNA", at positions 28 to 507 of the family's 1533-position model. The record is from RNAcentral.